GUUAUCACAUAUUACCUUUGUAAAACCUAAUUGAGGUUUGUUAAGAACGUUGUCUUCGUGCACAUAGCAUUUCUUCACAGUUUCCUUCGACUUCUCCUCCAUUGUUGAUUGAUUGCUUGAACUAAGGAGAAAGUUUUGACAGAGAGGAAUGUAGCUUAGGUUUUGGAGCUAGGGCGUGAUUUCAAGAAGUUUGAUUGUGUGAUUUUGAUUUUAGGAAGAUAUACACACACGAGUUUGAGG
RNAcentral lists this long non-coding RNA (240 nucleotides) under Medicago truncatula (barrel medic). Its description in RNAcentral is "long non-coding RNA (MTRU_LNC004861)". Lineage: Eukaryota; Viridiplantae; Streptophyta; Magnoliopsida; Fabales; Fabaceae. The record is from RNAcentral.